Molecule: ribosomal RNA, 506 nt
Filed under: Bacillus sp. (in: firmicutes)
Lineage: Bacteria; Bacillati; Bacillota; Bacilli; Caryophanales; Bacillaceae
Description: bacterial SSU rRNA
Rfam family: Bacterial small subunit ribosomal RNA
Source: RNAcentral
CUCAGGAUGAACGCUGGCGGCGUGCCUAAUACAUGCAAGUCGAGCGACUGAUUAGAAGCUUGCUUCUAUGACGUUAGCGGCGGACGGGUGAGUAACACGUGGGCAACCUGCCUGUAAGACUGGGAUAACUUCGGGAAACCGAAGCUAAUACCGGAUAGGAUCUUCUCCUUCAUGGGAGAUGAUUGAAAGAUGGUUUCGGCUAUCACUUACAGAUGGGCCCGCGGUGCAUUAGCUAGUUGGUGAGGUAACGGCUCACCAAGGCAACGAUGCAUAGCCGACCUGAGAGGGUGAUCGGCCACACUGGGACUGAGACACGGCCCAGACUCCUACGGGAGGCAGCAGUAGGGAAUCUUCCGCAAUGGACGAAAGUCUGACGGAGCAACGCCGCGUGAGUGAUGAAGGCUUUCGGGUCGUAAAACUCUGUUGUUAGGGAAGAACAAGUANNAGAGUAACUGCUCGUACCUUGACGGUACCUAACCAGAAAGCCACGGCUAACUACGUGCCAG